AGGGAACAGAUCAUCAACAAAUUUUCAUCAGAUCAAUAUUUCGGUAAGUUUUGUUUACACAAAGUAUAGGUAUUAUUUGAUAUUAUCUUAUUUUAAAAUUAUUAUGAGGUAUUUAACACGAAUUUUAUGAACACCACCGGUCUCUCGGAGGUUACUUUUCGUACGUUCUGUAUCGUGUGUUAAUACUCUUGAGAAACGAAUCGAUAGUAACCGCGAAGCUAACCUAUUGACUAAUUUAAUUGUGUUUAGUAUAGAAACGUUCCCCGCUAAAGUAAUUAUGAGAAUUACAUGGGUAAUUCACGGACAAAAGUCUGCUUAUGGGGUAUAUCAUAUUAUUGUGAAAAUCUAGGAUUACGGGUCAUUUGACCACCGUGUACAGAUUAUUCUUAUUCGGUUUGGUUAGGUUCGGCACGGUUUAGUGGUUUUUGUGUUUCAUCAUUUUUUUUUAAAUCUGAAAGUGGUUUUAUCAUGAAAAAAUCGAUAUGGAUGAUCACAAUUUUUAAAUUUUAAAAGGACUCUAAUAUUUGUUCACUUCACUUAAUAAUUUUCCGUUUCUUGUUAGUUAACUACUAACAUUAACAUUGCAGAUAAUAGCAAAGAAUAACGUCUAAUAAAAAUUUAGUCUGGGUGUGGAGGAGAUGAACAUAACGAAUGAAAAUAUAACACACUAUAAUCGUAUUUCGCCAUGAGUAUUAUGUAGUUCACGUUUUUAAAACGAUGUGAUCAAAUCAAAAUCUAACCGAUGAUGUUAAAGUAUUUAUUAUGUGGGCAGCGUGGGCGCUAAAAAAUAAAUUAUAGUGUAUCUCAUUGUCUGGC
Cinara cedri is the source of this 816-nucleotide non-coding RNA. Lineage: Eukaryota; Metazoa; Arthropoda; Insecta; Hemiptera; Aphididae. The record is from the annotation of a GenBank genome assembly.